Molecule: long non-coding RNA, 2007 nt
Organism: Oncorhynchus gorbuscha (pink salmon)
Lineage: Eukaryota; Metazoa; Chordata; Actinopteri; Salmoniformes; Salmonidae
Exons: 4
Source: RefSeq, a predicted model, not a curated record
CGAAUAUCAAACACAGCAUAAGGGUAAAAAUAGCCUAUUUUUUAUCAUUCACGUUUGUUAUCAUAGUCUGCUGGAAUAUUUUUUUAUACGAGUCGAGCUAACAAACUUCACCACGAGGAGGCCUACUUUGCCUCUACCUCUGCAUUAAGUGCAGUAAGUGAAAGCAAAAUUACCAGCCUCAAAGACCAAGACACAUUAGUGUGCUAUUGGAGGGCGAGAGUCCCAAAAUUGAAAAAUGCUGCAGCAGUCAACUUCAUUACUGCCCCUUCUGCACGUAUAAGCCUAUGGUCAACAACCACAUCAAAGGUCAUGCUUCAGUGAGGCACAGAGAGUUCACAAUCAUAAGGUGUGGCUUCAGUUGUAGAAACGUGACACACAUUCAUUGUUGUUAUUGCACGGCAUCAAUAAUCAACAGAGCACAGUUUCUGAAGCGCCUGACAUACCAUCAGCAUCCAGUGGCCCCUCAAGAGCACCUAGAGGUCCUUAAACAGUCCCUAGAGGCCCCUCAAGAGCACCCAGAUGUCCCCCAAGAGCACCCAGAGGCCCUUAAAGAACAACUAGUAGCAUCCACUGCAUUCCAUAUACCUCAGAUACGGCUCCCUAAAUCACCUGGUGCCAACAUACAUGGCAGCUCAAGAAAAGUCCUUGUAACUUGUCCACACUGCAAACUGAAGUUAAAUAAGAAAAACUUCAAAAAACUUUUACGAAGAAAGCAUACACAUGGCUUUGAAACGGUGUCCAGGGAAAUAUUUUUGGCACGUGAGCGCAUUAAUGUGAGAAAUGGUGUGUUUGGAGUCAAAAAUACAUUUCCUGGUCCAGCAACACCCAUACAUGUUGUGAAAAAUACUUGGGGACCCACACAGAAAUUGAGGUGUGAAGUUGACCAAUGUCAUCCCAAUGCUGACUUUGCUUUAAGGCGUAGGAUGCUGCCUUUUGAAUGUCAGCAUGUACGUUCCUUAUUGUUCUGCCCACGUGCAGGCAACACAACAGUGACUUUGACAGAGGAGGCCUUGGUGACAAUGGCCGAGAAUAAAUGGUUUUGUGAGGAGCGCUAGGCGUCAACGUGAGGCAGAUACUGAGGGUGUGCCCCUGUCUGUCCAGCUGAUGUUUGGUGGACCAUCGACACAAAUUCACAUUUUGGUGUACGAGCUGAAACUGUCUUAUUAUAGUAGGCUUGGAAGGGUUGUGACAGCUUAUGAUAGUAAGCAGAACAGCUGGCAUUGUCCUUGUUCAAAAGCAAGGCAUUCUCGCAUACACAAAGCAAUUGAUAAAUGGCACCUCUUUGUAACAAAAAGGCAACUGUUUAGGAGGGUGAAAACCACAGAAGAGAGAAACCUUCCACCACAGCACACCACAGAACAGGAUACAAGUGAAGCGAAAGAGGAUAAUUAUCCACCAAAUGAUAAAGGUGUAGCACGGAUGGUGAACUACCUCAUGACAAAUAAAAAAACUACCUGCUGAACUCCCCCAGGCUGUCAAUCAACAGUCAAGAGAUGGAAAGAUAUCGAGUGGCUUUCCGAAGCACCUGAUCCCAAAAGAGGCCAGAUGCAAGGAGUGUGAUUACGUACUCAGUGACCCUCUACUGAUCACUGCAAAAGAGAGGAUUCUGAUGACCACAGGUGUAGUUGAAGGAAGCAGAUGUUCUUCUAAGGGACACCCUAGAGGCAGCAAGGUGGUGCGAGCGCCAAACAUUUAAAGGCACUGUUUCCCUCCCUAGUGUUAUUGGGAUGGACAGGGAAGACCGCAUUACAACCCUUAAAGAACUACGGUGAAGAGCGGGUGAAGAGGAAAAUAUUCUCCUCAAGGAACCAUUCAUGUUCCCGUUCCAGUUACAGAGAGAUUAUGAGAAGUUCUGUGUGGAGGCAGUUGACAAAAAGAAAAUGACUGUCUUUGCCUCUUGAGGAGCAGGAGUGAAGCCAUUUUUCAGUGGUCAAACCUUGUUUUUGUCUGCUGUGUUAAUUGUUUCAGUUGUUAAUUGUGUUAUGUUGUUUAGUAAAGAUGAUGUUG